GCGGGCGUGGCGGAAUUGGUAGACGCACUCGGUUUAGGUCCGAACGCUUUACGGCAUGGGGGUUCGAGUCCCUCCGCCCGCACCA
This 85-nucleotide transfer RNA is filed under the name Caulobacteraceae bacterium. Its description in RNAcentral is "tRNA-Leu". It matches the Rfam family "tRNA". From Rfam's summary of the family: Transfer RNA (tRNA) molecules are approximately 80 nucleotides in length. Their secondary structure includes four short double-helical elements and three loops (D, anti-codon, and T loops). Further hydrogen bonds mediate the characteristic L-shaped molecular structure. tRNAs have two regions of fundamental functional importance: the anti-codon, which is responsible for specific mRNA codon recognition, and the 3' end, to which the tRNAs corresponding amino acid is attached (by aminoacyl-tRNA synthetases). tRNAs cope with the degeneracy of the genetic code in two manners: having more than one tRNA (with a specific anti-codon) for a particular amino acid; and 'wobble' base-pairing, i.e. permitting non-standard base-pairing at the 3rd anti-codon position. The record is from RNAcentral. Lineage: Bacteria; Pseudomonadati; Pseudomonadota; Alphaproteobacteria; Caulobacterales; Caulobacteraceae.